CCAUUGAAGUCAUGGCCUAUCAUUCUUAUGCCCAUCGAAAUUGGAGCUGAAGAUAUUGUUGGAGCUAAGGAAAGGCUCUGAUCCAUCCUCCUCUCUCUCCUCCUUCUCUCGACCUUAGUUGCCAUAGCUGGACCCCGGCUUCGUCAGAAAUUCACCAUAAAGAAAUCUCCUAUUUCUGUCAUUAUUUUCUUCUUUUCUCCUUUUUUCGAUUACCUUCACCAUCGACAAUCAUCACCAAGGGCUUUGGUCACCCCUUGCAUUGGUGCGGAAAAAUAAGCCCAUAAGUAACCAUGAAUAAGGC
This 301-nucleotide long non-coding RNA is filed under the name Elaeis guineensis (African oil palm). RNAcentral's name for it is "long non-coding RNA (EGUI_LNC025454)". The record is from RNAcentral. Lineage: Eukaryota; Viridiplantae; Streptophyta; Magnoliopsida; Arecales; Arecaceae.